Molecule: non-coding RNA, 108 nt
Organism: Lentinula aciculospora
Lineage: Eukaryota; Fungi; Basidiomycota; Agaricomycetes; Agaricales; Omphalotaceae
Source: the annotation of a GenBank genome assembly
GCUGGAAUGGCCGAGUCGUUAAGGCGAUAGAUUUGAAUCCCUGAGAUAAAAGGUGCUUUCCCUAUCUAUUACUCUAUGAGUGCGUAGGUUCAAAUCCUGCUUCCAGCG